UUGGUCAGCUCUGGGAGCCGUU
Molecule: unclassified non-coding RNA, 22 nt
Filed under: Chlamydomonas reinhardtii
Lineage: Eukaryota; Viridiplantae; Chlorophyta; Chlorophyceae; Chlamydomonadales; Chlamydomonadaceae
Description: small RNA Cre_4026
Source: RNAcentral